This 22-nucleotide microRNA is filed under the name Heligmosomoides polygyrus. RNAcentral describes it as "hpo-miR-10137b-3p". The record is from miRBase by way of RNAcentral. Lineage: Eukaryota; Metazoa; Nematoda; Chromadorea; Rhabditida; Heligmosomidae.
CAUAGAUCCCUUUUUGAUAAGC